CAGUACAAUAUAACAUUAAACAUAGUAUAAUUAAAAAUUAAUUCAUUACAGUAUAACACCAAACCUUAUAUAGCAUUAUUAUUGUAUAGUGCUAAUGCAAUAAAAUAUAAUACAAUAGAUCUAUAUUAAAAUAAUAUAAUACAAUCUAAAAUAAUAUAGUUUCUCAAAUGCUAUCUAUUAGCACAAAUACUUAAAAUGCACACUUCUAUUUCGGCUAGGCCGAACUGGAGCACAUCGUCCAAGUCCUGCCUAUUUACCUUCGCGGCAAUUGUGGAUUUAUGGUAUCAAUUAUAUUUGUUUGUACAUGGGUACAUCUAACGUCCCCCUUCUCGUUGUCUAUUUGGGCUUGGAACUUUUGUUGCUGGAUUCUUGGCUGUGUCCAUGACUAAUGAUUGUUGGACCUUUUGGGCUUUCCCAUUGGGUUGCAUGGAUGUCCUAAAUUCUUGUUAAGGCCCCUAACCUCACAAUUAUUUAUACAGUAGCGCUGUGGUAGUGGUACCAUCUAUAGUUUUGACACUUACUUAGAAUCCCAUUUUACAAAUAAAUCUCAUUAAAAAGUAAAAAAAAAAAUUAUUAAAAACGUAAUUUAAUUCCAUAAACAACCCUUCCCAUUUCUUAAUAAGAAUUUCUACUUUUAUUUCCCGAUCAACCCCGUAAUCACUCAAUUACAGUCAGUCUUGAAUAUCCUUAAUAAUCAUCUUGCAUAAGACAUUAUAUACAAAAUUUUUAAUGAAAAAUUAUUUAGUGGGGUUUCAUGAGGAAGUGAAAUUCUUUAUACUUUCUCCUAAACUAGGUGGAAGAGCUUCUCAAUGGAAUCCAUUGUCCUCUUGACUUGACUUGGUGGGGAGUAGUUUUCUCAAUGAUAUCAACUUAAUUUCUUAACAUUACUAUGAUGUAAAAAAGUCAAUUAUUAAUAAAUAUAUAAUAGUUAUUAUUAAUCGGUGAUACAUCAUUUGGAAUGUAAAUUUUAUAUAUGUAAACAUAUAACUGCUCAUAUUAUCAUUACAAAUUUUACAUAAAUAAGAGCAUCUCCAAAAGAUUCUAUAAAUUUUACUCUUCAAAUAUUUAUUUGUUUACUUAUGUGGUAAAUAGAAGAGUGAAAAGAUAUAUUAUUUUCUAAAAGACUCUUCAAAUAGAAAUGAAUUAAUAUUAUUUUAAUCAAAUAACUAUUUUUUUAAAGGAAAAGUCAAUAGUAAUUAAAGCACCACACUCUCUCUCUCUUUCUCCAACAAAAAGUAAUAAAAUACAAAUUGAAAAGGGAGAAAGUAACUCUCCAAAUUUGAAGAGAGAUGAUUAUUUCUUAUUUAAAAAAUCUUAAUUGGAGUAUCUUUUGGAGCCUUAAAUGCUGAUGUGGCUCUUCAAAUAAGUAAUAAAACCUUAUUUGAAGAGUUUUUUGAUGAUGCUCUAAGAGUAGUAAUUUGUUUGUUUGUCUUGUAUAAUAAAAAGUGUAUAUAUCCUAAGAUACAGGUCAGGAAACACAAUGUCACUCGCCCCAAAUGCUCUCACAUUUGUAGAAUAGCUAUUUGACUCCCCAUAUUUCAAUAUGGGGACUCAAUUCCUCUCUCAAUUAAAAAAUAAUUGAGUGGAGAUAAUCUUCUCUUUUAUAAAAUGUGAGUAGAAUAGUUAUCUUUCAAAUAUUAGUAAGGUUAAAAAAUUUGAACAAUUUUUUAUAAGAUUUAAAGUAAAUUAGUUCUCGUAGUUGUUUGAUUGUAAAUAGAUAUAAAUUAAUCUGAGUAAUUAUCUGAUUAUAAAUAUAUGUAAACUAUUGCUUCAUAAGAUUUAAUGUAAAUUACUUAAAUAGUUUUCGGAUUGUAAAUAUAUAUAAACUAAUAAUUCAUAAGAUUUAAUGUAAAUCAACCCUAAUAGUUAUCUUAUUAUAAAUAUAUAUAAACUAAUUACAAUAGUUAUCUGAUUAUAAAUAUUAAAAAUACCAAAUUCAAUAAUUAUUUCAUUAUAUAGUUGCCUGAUAUAAUACAAAGUGAUUUUCGAAUGUGAUACCAAUUGUCUAUUGUAAUAAGUGAGAAAAAGAAAACGUCAGAAAACACGUCAAUAAAGGGUAGAACGAGACAGGCAUGUAAGUGUGGAAAAAAAAUAAAUUAAAAUGAUUAAAAUCACGUGUGCUCGAGCUCAAAUGAACCUGCAAGAGCAUCAUCACUUUAUUGGUAGGAAAUGACAAGUCGGUCAGGCCUACGGGCCUUUUUUGUUGUAAAAUCCUAUCAGCAGUCGACACACGUCUAACCUAUACUGACAUUGUACAGUUGCAGCAAGUUUGAACAGAAAAGCAAACCAAAACGACAAAAUUUCCAAUAACAAAAAACAAAAAUUGAGCUUAGCUUUGAUUUAUGAACGAAGCCAGCCCCUAUUUCCGUAAUCGAUACGUGUUCGAGCUCUAUCAGUCAGAGAAGUAACAAAAUAAACCAAAAAGUAUUUUAACAUUGACUACCAGCUUUUACGAUCAGAAAUUGAAGCCAGCGACAGUGGGAGUGAAAGUGAAAUAUCGAGGAGGGAAUGACUGUAAAUGAAUAGUGACUAUUUUGUUGAGACGGGAAGUGAAAGGAAUUGUGUAUUUUGAUUAGACAAAUACAUAAUUGGUCAUAACCUUUGGCUUCUCUUAAUUAAGUAAACGAAUUUGAUUAGGUGUGCACCGUCGCGCAUGUUAUUGUGCGCGACGGCAUACACUUGAUCGGACUUCCAUUAGUAAAUGUUUUUUUUUUUUUUGAAGUUAAAAGACGUUUUUAUAAAAAAAAAAUCAUGAAUAAUAUCUACUUUGAAGUUAAUUUAUUACAUCUUAAAGAUGACUUUUAAUUAAGUGUUUUAUUUCACUAUUUUUUCUUUUUAGAACAAGAUGGAUUUGAAGCAUGGGAUAUAAAUCAGAUAAUUAAUAGAAAGAAAAUAAUGAAUUGUGUGCUAUUCUCAAAGUUUGAAUUAAU
Molecule: long non-coding RNA, 2930 nt
Filed under: Citrus x clementina
Lineage: Eukaryota; Viridiplantae; Streptophyta; Magnoliopsida; Sapindales; Rutaceae
Description: Citrus clementina (C. clementina) long non-coding RNA (CCLE_LNC000583)
Source: RNAcentral